This 475-nucleotide ribosomal RNA is filed under the name uncultured organism. RNAcentral's name for it is "partial 16S ribosomal RNA". It matches the Rfam family "Bacterial small subunit ribosomal RNA", at positions 335 to 801 of the family's 1533-position model. The record is from RNAcentral.
ACUCCUACGGGAGGCAGCAGUGGGGAAUUUUGGACAAUGGGCGAAAGCCUGAUCCAGCAAUGCCGCGUGAGUGAAGAAGGCCUUCGGGUUGUAAAGCUCUUUUGUCAGGGAAGAAACGGUGAAAGCUAAUAUCUUUUGCUAAUGACGGUACCUGAAGAAUAAGCACCGGCUAACUACGUGCCAGCAGCCGCGGUAAUACGUAGGGUGCAAGCGUUAAUCGGAAUUACUGGGCGUAAAGCGUGCGCAGGCGGUUUUGUAAGUCUGAUGUGAAAUCCCCGGGCUCAACCUGGGAAUUGCAUUGGAGACUGCAAGGCUAGAAUCUGGCAGAGGGGGGUAGAAUUCCACGUGUAGCAGUGAAAUGCGUAGAUAUGUGGAGGAACACCGAUGGCGAAGGCAGCCCCCUGGGUCAAGAUUGACGCUCAUGCACGAAAGCGUGGGGAGCAAACAGGAUUAGAUACCCGUGUAGUCCCAUGAU